Molecule: ribosomal RNA, 521 nt
Filed under: uncultured bacterium
Lineage: Bacteria
Description: bacterial SSU rRNA
Rfam family: Archaeal small subunit ribosomal RNA
Source: RNAcentral
AACCUCCGCAAUGUGAGAAAUCGCGACGGGGGGAUCCCAAGUGCCAUUCUUAACGGGAUGGCUUUUCAUUAGUGUAAAGAGCUUUUGGAAUAAGAGCUGGGCAAGACCGGUGCCAGCCGCCGCGGUAACACCGGCAGCUCUAGUGGUAACAAUUUUUAUUGGGCCUAAAGCGUCCGUAGCCGGUUUAAUAAGUCUCUGGUGAAAUCCUGUAGCUUAACUGUGGGAAUUGCUGGAGAUACUAUUAGACUUGAGACCGGGAGAGGUUAGAGGUACUCCCAGGGUGGAGGUGAAAUUCUGUAAUCCUGGGAGGACCGCCUGUUGCGAAGGCGUCUAACUGGAACGGUUCUGACGGUGAGGGACGAAAGUUAGGGGCGCGAACCGGGAUUAGAUACCCGGGUAGUCCUAACUGUAAACGAUGCGGACUUGGUGUUGGGGUGGCUUUGAGCUGCUCCAGUGCCGAAGGGAAGCUGUUAAGUCCGCCGCCUGGGAGUACGGUCGCAAGACUGAAACUUAAAGGAAUU